RNAcentral lists this ribosomal RNA (480 nucleotides) under Clostridioides difficile. RNAcentral's name for it is "partial 23S ribosomal RNA". It matches the Rfam family "Bacterial large subunit ribosomal RNA", at positions 786 to 1273 of the family's 2925-position model. The record is from RNAcentral. Lineage: Bacteria; Bacillati; Bacillota; Clostridia; Peptostreptococcales; Peptostreptococcaceae.
GCGUUGAAAAGCUCGGGGAUGACUUGUGGGUAGCGGUGAAAUUCCAAUCGAGCCCGGAGAUAGCUGGUUCUCCCCGAAAUAGCUUUAGGGCUAGCCUCAAGGUGAGAGAUACGGAGGUAGAGCACUGAAUGUCCUAGGGGGUAUUGCACCUACCGAAGACUAUCAAACUCCGAAUGCCGUCAUCUUAUACUUGGGAGUCAGACUGUGGGUGAUAAGAUUCAUAGUCGAAAGGGCAACAGCCCAGAUCGUCAGCUAAGGUCCCUAAAUGUAAGUUAAGUGGUAAAGGAUGUGGGAUUGCACAGACAACCAGGAUGUUGGCUUAGAAGCAGCCACUCAUUCAAAGAGUGCGUAAUAGCUCACUGGUCGAGUGAUCCUGCGCCGAAGAUUUCCGGGGCUAAAACUUACUACCGAAGCUACGGCAUCAGUAAUGAUGGGUAGGGGAGCUUCCCAUACGGGUUGAAGCAUGACCGUAAGGACAUG